Molecule: long non-coding RNA, 1433 nt
Filed under: Equus caballus (horse)
Lineage: Eukaryota; Metazoa; Chordata; Mammalia; Perissodactyla; Equidae
Description: lncRNA (ENSECAG00000047200.1)
Source: RNAcentral
CACAGAUUGGUCAACUGGAAAUGCCUUGCUCCCAAGAGGCUUACUUUUGAACCAGAACCGACAAGUAAUUUCCUAGUUUAGUAGUUCUUAAGACUAGUAGAAGAACAGGGGAAGAAUGAAUCAUGGUGACUUCACAAGGGCAACAGAAUUUCAUCUCGGGGCAAAUCUAAGGAAAACCCAAAGCAGCUGGAAGACGACCGGAAACAGCAUCUUGACUUCAGCCUCAUGUAUUGAAACAUUAUCUUAUUGAAUCUUCAAGUUCAGCAAAAUGAACUCCCUUUCAUGUUAGGAAUUGAAAUUAGAGUACUCUAUUUCACCAACCAGCAGGAAACUUAUUUACAUGGUCUGGGAACAGGAGAAACAAUAGGAAACCAGAAGUUGAACCUGAGAAUCACAGUGGCAGUUCAGGAGGAAGCCUGCACUUUCUAAGAGAACGUUAGUGUCUUCCACCCUCUCCUUCACUCAGAAUAUUCAGACCAGGAUAUUAGCUGUUGGCAAAACAUUUAAUCUCUAGGGAACUCAACUUUCUCACUUCUGAAGCAAGGACUAAAUUAUUUCUACCUUUCUGGCUUUAAAUUUUGGCUCUUGGAAUAUUCUCAAUCUCCUUCAGUCAUUUUCCAUCGGUCCUGAUUCCUGGUUCUCCCUUGGAAAUUCUACUUGCUCAGAGUUUUGUGCUGUGAGCAGGCAGUGUGCUUUUGUGUCUUACACCACACCACGCUUCUACCUCCUGAGAGCUGAAGGCUAGCUUUUAUUUAAUAAAAGUCUGAGCAAACCUUAGCGCGACAGCCACAGGCCGGGGGAGCAGAAAUUAGGUAGUUUUGACACUUACCAACCUCUUCUCUUCCCACUUUUUCCAAUAAGUAUUGCUUUUCCACCCUUGCUGAUGUGAAAGGGACGGAAGACAUUGCACAGAGACAUAAGCCACCUUCCCCAACACUCCCGAGUAGCCCAGUCAGGUUGACAAGAAAUGGCCAAGUCAAGUGAAGUCUCUCAUUUCAAGCAAAGUGGUUGGAAAGGGAUGGAGCAGAGAGCUGAUGCAAAGGGCUGAUUGUAAAGAGACUUAUGGUGGUAGCAUAAAGAAUGGGCUUCAGUGAUAUUUGAUAAAACGAACUGGACCUGUGAAAUCUUGUCUUUUAAUCUCAAUAUUGGAAUAAGGGUUUGGAUUAUAAUAGCCACUGCUUCCUGUUUACCAAGUGUUCUUAGUAAGUGCCCAGUCAGUUAAUUUAUCCCCUCAGCAGCACAUAAGCACAGCCCUCUCAGAACAUGGAGCUUAUUUCACAUGGGCCAAAAACACCUGUGAGGUUAGUUUUCUAAAGCAUCUGCUCUCUUACCCUCAUAAUUACUUGGUCAUAUUGUCCUCUGUGGGGUAAACAUUAGGGACGUGGAUGUGAGUGUGUGUAUGGAGGGUAGGGGGAGGGGAGGAGACCGACCCA